GCCCUACGGGAGGCAGCAGUGGGGAAUAUUGCACAAUGGGGGAAACCCUGAUGCAGCGACGCCGCGUGAGUGAUGAAGUAUUUCGGUAUGUAAAGCUCUAUCAGCAGGGAAGAUAAUGACGGUACCUGACUAAGAAGCUCCGGCUAAAUACGUGCCAGCAGCCGCGGUAAUACGUAGGGGGCAAGCGUUGUCCGGAAUGACUGGGCGUAAAGGGAGUGUAGGCGGCUCAUCAAGUUAGAUGUGAAAUCCCGCGGCUUAACCGCGGAACUGCAUCUAAAACUGGUAAGCUGGAGUGCAGGAGAGGG
This 305-nucleotide ribosomal RNA is filed under the name uncultured bacterium. Its description in RNAcentral is "bacterial SSU rRNA". It matches the Rfam family "Bacterial small subunit ribosomal RNA", at positions 335 to 658 of the family's 1533-position model. The record is from RNAcentral.